Tripterygium wilfordii is the source of this 1281-nucleotide long non-coding RNA. RefSeq lists it as uncharacterized. The transcript is spliced from 2 exons. The record is from RefSeq and is a predicted model, not a curated record. Lineage: Eukaryota; Viridiplantae; Streptophyta; Magnoliopsida; Celastrales; Celastraceae.
GGUUUCUAGUGUGGCUUCCGAAUGUUCUUUUAGUUUGGGGUCAAGGGUUGUGGAUCCUUUUAGGAUUUGUUUAACUCCUAAGAUGGUGGAGGUAUUAGUAAGCACAAGUGAUUCGAUCAAGGCAGAAGGUUUUAGUUAUUACAAGGAUCCAACCCAAUAUGAAUUGGAGCUUUAUUGAGCUUUGGAGGAAGUUGAACAAGAGGUUUUGUCAUCUCAAAAUAUUCAAGGAAUACAUCCACCAGUUCCAAGUGCAUCAAGUAUCCAGUUCCAAUCAUCCAGCCAUGAUUCUACCAACAUCUGAGAAUCUGAGGUGUGUUUAUGACUUUAUGGAACUUCUAUAGUGUGAGGAGAAGGGGUUUGCACUCUCCUUAUGCUGCAUACUGCCAUACUGCAUACAUAUAUCCUAUGAUGUAACAUUUAUUAUUCUAAUAUCAUAUUGCUUCAAAGUUUAAACUUCAAUAGUAAUAAGAUUUGUUCUUUCACUAUUAUGGUGCGUUCGGUAUGGGGGUAAGAAUUUGAGGGUAUAAUUUAUUACCCAUAUAAAUGUUACAACCAAUGUUGCAAAAAUCCUUCUAAUCGGCGACUAGUCGCUAGUCGAGGCUUGCCGCUUCGACUAGAGGGUAAUCGGGUCACUUAAUCGGAGACCCGAUUAAAUCCCGACUAGUCGGCCUAGUCGUUUGUUUUUUGACAGAGUUCCAUCCACCUGCGAAUUGCGAUAAACUCCGAGUCUCCAAACGGAGACCAUUGCAGGUCAUUCUCCAAGACAAAGACACCCUUCAUCUCAUUCUCGGUUGGUUUCUCAGCACUACAGGUGAUACUCCAACCAAUGAGGACAAGAAGAAGUCUCUUUCGAUCUCUCCGUCGUCCGUCGUCUUCAGCCAUCUCCUCCAUCUUUGGUUUCUCGGCCGCACUUCAGAGUUUUCUUCGAGGAGCUUCUAGUCUUCAGAGCCCUACUAAGGCUUGAAGUCUAUUAGGCCUCUCCUUUGGGCCUUGCUUUGGACCUCUCUAAUGAUUUCUCUUGGCCCAUUACAAUAUCUAUUACUAAAUGACUCAAGUUUUGUAAAUCAGAUAUUCUUUUCGUUAUUUGUCAAAUCAGGUCAAUGACUAAUGUCUAGUUAAACGACAAAAAUGUCUAGUAAACGACUAAUGUUGUCAUUUUGGAGAGAAAUCAAUACUAUUUUAGUACCAUAAAUUUAUUUUACUUGAACAUACAUAUAUUUCACAUAUAGAAUUAUUUUUAAUAUAAAUAUAAAUAUAUUAUAUUUACAUAUUUUUAAUAUA